ACUCAAAUGAAUUGACGGGGGCCCGCACAAGCGGUGGAGCAUGUGGUUUAAUUCGAUGCAACGCGAAGAACCUUACCUGCUCUUGACAUACAUUGAACUUAGCAGAGAUGCUGGGGUGCCGUAAGGAACGAUGAUACAGGUGCUGCAUGGCUGUCGUCAGCUCGUGUCGUGAGAUGUUGGGUUAAGUCCCGUAACGAGCGCAACCCUUGUUCUUAGUUACCAACACGUAGAGGUGGGGACUUUAAGGAGACUGCCGGUGACAAGCCGGAGGAAGGCGGGGACGACGUCAAGUCAUCAUGGCCCUUAUGAGCAGGGCUACACACGUGCUACAAUGGCUGGUACAGAGGGGAGCGAAGCAGUGAUGUGGAGCGAAUCCUAGAAAGCCGGUCGUAGUCCGGAUUGGAGUCUGCAACUCGACUCCAUGAAGUGGGAAUCGCUAGUAAUCGCGAAUCAGCAUGUCGCGGUGAAUACGUUCCCGGGCCUUGUACACACCGCCCGU
This 499-nucleotide ribosomal RNA is filed under the name uncultured bacterium. RNAcentral's name for it is "partial 16S ribosomal RNA". It matches the Rfam family "Bacterial small subunit ribosomal RNA", at positions 899 to 1397 of the family's 1533-position model. The record is from RNAcentral.